AGAGUUUGAUCCUGGCUCAGGACGAACGCUGGCGGCAUGCCUCACACAUGCAAGUCGAACGAAGUUUUUUAGAAAGCUUGCUUUCUAAAAAACUUAGUGGCGGACGGGUGAGUAACACGUGGGCAACCUGCCCUACAGAUCGGGAUACCAUCGGGAAACUGAUGUUAAUACCGGAUACGUUCUAAGGAUCGCCUGAUUCUUAGAAGAAAGAUUUUAUCGCUGUAGGAUGGGCCCGCGGUCCAUUAGCUAGUUGGUAGGGUAACGGCCUACCAAGGCGACGAUGGAUAGCUGGUCUGAGAGGACGAUCAGCCACACUGGGACUGAGACACGGCCCAGACUCCUACGGGAGGCAGCAGUGGGGAAUAUUGCGCAAUGGGGGCAACCCUGACGCAGCAAUGCCGCGUGAAGGAUGAAGGCUUUCGGGUCGUAAACUUCUGUCUAGAGGGAUGAAUUUUUGACAGUACCUCUGGAGGAAGCCCCGGCUAACUACGUGCCAGCAGCCGCGGUAAUAC
RNAcentral lists this ribosomal RNA (512 nucleotides) under uncultured Anaerobranca sp. RNAcentral's name for it is "bacterial SSU rRNA". It matches the Rfam family "Bacterial small subunit ribosomal RNA", at positions 8 to 526 of the family's 1533-position model. The record is from RNAcentral. Lineage: Bacteria; Bacillati; Bacillota; Clostridia; Eubacteriales; Proteinivoracaceae.